This 322-nucleotide unclassified non-coding RNA is filed under the name Hevea brasiliensis (rubber tree). Lineage: Eukaryota; Viridiplantae; Streptophyta; Magnoliopsida; Malpighiales; Euphorbiaceae. The record is from RNAcentral.
UACCAUUGCUUCCUUGAUUGAUCGUUGAUAUGGAAGGAAUUACUGUGAACCUAUUGAUGAAUUUCAGGAAUUAACAAGUGUACAUUUGACGGCAUUUGCAUUAUAUUAUAUUUUUUUGCUGAUCUUUUAAGUUAAAGCAAAAUUAGGACUGGCAUGUUGCGGAUUUCAUCUCGGUCUGCAAUUUUUCAAUGGAAAUUAGAUGAACUUUGGAGUUGAAUAGAGCGCCCAUGGAUGAAAAUAUGUCAUUUGCACCCUACUGUUUUUUCUGGAGCUAUUUUUCUUCAAGCAAGACUUGGUCUGUCCUUUCGAGCAUUGCAUAGCU